Molecule: ribosomal RNA, 253 nt
Filed under: uncultured bacterium
Lineage: Bacteria
Description: partial 16S ribosomal RNA
Rfam family: Bacterial small subunit ribosomal RNA
Source: RNAcentral
UACGAGAGGCCCAAACGUUAUUCGGAAUUACUGGGCUUAAAGAGUUCGUAGGCGGCAUGGUAAGUAGGGUGUGAAAUCCCUCGGCUCAACCGAGGAAUUGCGCUCUAAACUACCGUGCUAGAGGAAGCUAGAGGUGAGCGGAACUGAUGGUGGAGCGGUGAAAUGCGUUGAUAUCGGGAGGAACACCUGUGGCGAAAGCGGCGCACUGGACCAUAACUGACGCUGAUGCGCGAAAGCUAGGGGAGCAAACAGG